RNAcentral lists this long non-coding RNA (2081 nucleotides) under Canis lupus familiaris (dog). RNAcentral describes it as "lncRNA (ENSCAFG00845018044.1)". Lineage: Eukaryota; Metazoa; Chordata; Mammalia; Carnivora; Canidae. The record is from RNAcentral.
AGCCUGGAGUUCAUGAGUUCACGGUGCAAGGCAUCUAGUGAUAGAGACAGUGGCUCCUCUUGUUGGCCCCAAGCUCGACUGAGGGGAUUGUUUUGUUCUUGGACCCCCGCCUUCACUUGGACCUGAGACUCACGAAGCUUUGCAGCUUCUGGGGUUGCUUGUUUUGUGCUGCAGAUGAGCGGGGUGAGGGGCACCCCAGAAUUGAGGUGUGCCUCAUGCCCAAGCUUCCAGACUCAGGCAGGGCACCAAAGUCUUGCCACCCAUGCCCAUUAGAGACAGCCCUGUUCCAAAGCUCAUCUCGGACUCCUAGAGAACUGUGUGCGGGGUGCCAGCAUUCACAAGCCAUCCUGCUGGACACAUGUCCCGCGGCCACUUAGCUGUGACCGCCCAAGAAAGAAGGAAAUUCCAUGAUUUGCAAGUCUGCCAGAGCCAGAGUGUGUGUGUAGGGCCAGGUUGCUGUCAGGCACAAAGGCAGGGAGAUGGCCUGUGUCCAAAUGAAGAUCCACUGGGGCAAGAAGAAAGCCAGGCUGGAAGGAAGAGAAGCAGGCUUCGAGCUCCAACAAUUCCUGCCCAGUGAGGCUCAGGGGCACCAGAGACAAGAGCCCAAAGGCCAUUCUUCGAAGCUGAGCAAGAUUGCAGGGUUUCUGAGAGUACUGCGCAGAAAUAAAGGAGACAAAAAUGUCACUGAUCCACCAGAAACUUCCAAAGGUUUCUCCGAGUUGGUCCAGGAUGGGCAGUUCCUGGAGGCCUACCUGAGCAUCCCGACAUUGGUAAAGCAAGGGCAAGACUGCAAAUCCCUGUACCAGGUUGUGGCCCAGAGCAUGUGGCAGGUGCUCCAGCAGGCUCUGGAGGGCACUGAGUACUGCCCGGAGCUGGAGCUAAAGAUCCAGGCUGUGCUGGGCACCAUAGAGUGGACACAGGAGAAGCACCAGAGCUGGGAGGAUGGUGACCUCCAGGAUGGUGACCUCCAGGAUGGUGACCUCCAGGAUGGCGGAGUUGCCGCCUGGGGCAAUCAGCUGGAGAAGCUGCUGAGAAGUGAUGUGGAGGCCAGAGUGCCUGCCCUGGGCCCUGGCGACCAGGUGGACCUGUACCUGGAGAAGCUAGAAGAGGCUGUGACACAGGGCCUGAGGUCCCCGCGGGCCAGCCUGUUGGGGCCCCAGCUCUGGAAGGUCUACAGGACACACUUCCAGGAGGUCCUCCUCAACCGCCUCUGGGAGCUCAUGCACUCCUUUGGCACCAACAGGGAAAGCUGUCACAUGCUGUACUCCUGGGCCAAGAUAACGUUGUUUGGGGAGCCAGGGAAGACACUUGUGAGUGCACCUCCCACCUCCCAGGAGCCCGCGGUCAGGCACCUCUUAGAUUCUGUGACGUUUGUUCCCUGGAUGUCCCGAAUGCAGAAGAAGCUGGUGGGACUAAUACAGGAAAGCUUGGAGGAACAACUAGAAAAUGUCCUGAUCUGUGAUUGGAAAACAUGGGCCCAGGCUUCCUGCCCGACGUUUAUCGAAAUCUUCCAGCUGCUGGAAGAAAACAUUAAUGCAGUACAACCCAUUGGACUACCUAUCACUAGCCAGGUGCAAUCCAUGGUUCUGGAAACAUUUUCAAAGUUUCUGAAAAGGUACGAGGCCGAGGCCGCCCACUUCCUCCACCAGAACGCCACUGCUGGGCCCCUCCCCGAGGUGCACGUGCUGGCAAACUGCUGCAUCCUCAGGGAAACGUGGCAGGAGCUGAGCUGGGCACACAUUCUGCCGGCACAUCUGGACGCUGUCGUGCAAGACACCAUCCACGACAUCGAGAGCCACAGCCGGGACCACUUCCUGUUUAAGGGCAGAGCCCUGUGCAAGGUGCCGUCCCCCAGUGCCCCAGCCCUGUGUGGGGUCUUCUCUGUUCCCAGAGAACCAAGGCAGGAGGCGCCUGCCUGUGUCUCCCUGGACUUCUGCCCAGCCCAGCAGAGCCUUUGCUGGGGUGGGACACGGCAGGGCCCCAGUGGCGGACUUGGUUGGAGAGGUUCCUGGUCAGGCCUUCUGCCUUCCUCAGGCCGGAGUUCUUUGUCUGGAGCAGCAGGCUGGGCCAGCUGGGACUAG